This 441-nucleotide ribosomal RNA is filed under the name uncultured bacterium. RNAcentral describes it as "partial 16S ribosomal RNA". It matches the Rfam family "Bacterial small subunit ribosomal RNA", at positions 338 to 795 of the family's 1533-position model. The record is from RNAcentral.
CCUACGGGGGGCAGCAGUGGGGGAUAUUGCACAAUGGGGGGAACCCUGAUGCAGCGACGCCGCGUGGGUGAAGGAGUAUUUCGGUAUGUAAAGCCCUAUCGGCAGGGAAGAAUUUAGACGGUACCUGACUAAGAAGCCCCGGCUAACUACGUGCCAGCAGCCGCGGUAAUACGUAGGGGGCAAGCGUUAUCCGGAUUGACUGGGUGUAAAGGGAGCGUAGACGGCAGUGCAAGUCUGGAGUGAAAGGCGGGGGCUCAACGCCCGGACUGCUCUGGAAACUGUACGGCUGGAGUGCAGGAGAGGUAAGUGGAAUUCCUAGUGUAGCGGUGAAAUGCGUAGAUAUUAGGAGGAACACCAGUGGCGAAGGCGGCUUACUGGACUGUAACUGACGUUGAGGCUCGAAAGCGUGGGGAGCAAACAGGAUUAGAUACCCGGGUAGUC